CCUACGGGAGGCAGCAGUGAGGAAUAUUGGUCAAUGGGCGGAAGCCUGAACCAGCCAAGUCGCGUGAGGGAUUAAGGCCCUGCGGGUCGUAAACCUCUUUAGGCGGGGAGCAAUGCCGGGCACGCGUGCCCGGAGGGAGAGUACCCGCAGAAUAAGCAUCGGCUAACUCCGUGCCAGCAGCCGCGGUAAUACGGAGGAUGCGAGCGUUAUCCGGAUUUAUUGGGUUAAAGGGGUGCUGAGGCGGAAGGUUAAGUCGACGGUCAAAUGGCGGUGCUCAACACCGGCCUGCCGUUGAAACUGGUCUUCUUGAGUGAGCGAGAAGUAUGCGGAAUGCGUGGUGUAGCGGUGAAAUGCAUAGAUAUCACGCAGAACUCCGAUUGCGAAGGCAGCAUACCGGCGCUCAACUGACGCUGAGGCACGAAAGCGUGGGGAUCGAACAGGAUUAGAUACCCGAGUAGUC
RNAcentral lists this ribosomal RNA (460 nucleotides) under uncultured bacterium. RNAcentral's name for it is "partial 16S ribosomal RNA". It matches the Rfam family "Bacterial small subunit ribosomal RNA", at positions 338 to 795 of the family's 1533-position model. The record is from RNAcentral.